Molecule: ribosomal RNA, 305 nt
Filed under: uncultured bacterium
Lineage: Bacteria
Description: bacterial SSU rRNA
Rfam family: Bacterial small subunit ribosomal RNA
Source: RNAcentral
UUCCCUACGGGGGGCAGCAGUGAGGAAUAUUGGUCAAUGGCCGGAAGGCUGAACCAGCCAAGCCGCGUGAAGGACGAAGGUGCCAAGCAUUGUAAACUUCUUUUGUCAAGGGACAAAAUCAGGCUCGAGAGCCUGACCGAGGGUACUUGAAGAAAAAGCAUCGGCUAACUCCGUGCCAGCAGCCGCGGUAAUACGGAGGAUGCGAGCGUUAUCCGGAUUUAUUGGGUUUAAAGGGUGCGUAGGCGGGAUAUCAAGUCAGCGGUAAAAUCGUGGAGCUCAACUCCAUCCAGCCGUUGAAACUGAUG